UCGCAUCCCAGACAGCACAUGUACGUCUGGCCGACGUCGGCCCAAUAUCGAAACGUCGGCCUCUAUACCUAAAACAUCUAUAAAACAUCGGCCUGGCGGAGGCCGAUAUAAUUUGGUCAGUGCUCUGUUCUCCAGCUCAUCAAUCGUCGGCCCUGAGUUGGUUCAUGACCGCGGGCCGAUGCCGCGCUUCUCUGUGUGCGCGUGCCCAGUAUUCGUCUCUUUUAGCCACCCAGAGAGAGAGAAGAGGAUAAUCCCAGCGACAUCUGUGGCUCUGAGGCUUCCAGAAAUAAUCCGGUGAAAUAAUACGGUGAGCUAUUGUUGCUGUUGCUUCUGAACUACAAAAUGAUUUUUUAAUUUAUUAUUGAAUGAGACUGUACAUUAUAAAUGUAAUGCUUUAACUCUAGAUGUUUGUUUGUGUGAAUGCUGUGUGUGCGGUGAGUCCUGCGCGAGCGGGGAGCAGAGUUGCCAUGGAAACGGGGCGUCAACACAAAAACCGUUACUGGCAAGCAGUAAUCUCCGUCUCUUGCUGCAAUUUACACUGUUUUGGAAACGGUUUAGUGUCUUCGGAAAAGUCCGUUAUCAUUUUAGCAGUUUUCAGAUGUUUGUUUGUGUAAAUGCUGUAUGCGCGUUGAGUCCUGCGCGAGCGGGGAGCAGAGUUGCCAUGGAAACGGGGCGUCAACACAAAAACCAUUACUGGCAAACAGUAAUCUCCGUCUCUUGCUGCAGUUUACACUGUUUUAGGAGGACAGAAAGAAACUCUACAGAACAGAAGUGAAGCUCCAAGAUUUCAACAUUUAUGAAGGGAGAUACUGACUUAGAAAUACAGGUGAACUGAAGAAGCUCAUGAAAUACAUUAAUAUGCCUUUUUUCAGAAUACAUUUCACCAAUUUUAAGAAGUCCCUGACUUCAUAACCUUGUUUCCUUCUAAUGAACCUGGAACUGCAGAGUAAAUAUUGUUGACUCUGUGUCAGAUUGCUUGUUUUGUUCCUAGACUCUUCAGUGAUGACGAUCAGAGUCUGAGUGAACCUGCUGUCAGACAGGUUGGCCUGAUUGACGAUGCCAUCGUCCAUCGCCGAUGGCUGAUAGACAUCACGAUGCUGCGCUGGCAAACAGCGUCAUCAGCUCCAGUAUCUCGCCCGUGCAUCUGUUGUCAUGCGGAGAAGUCACGUUCUAUAGACAGUUUCUAUAGACAGUUGUGAACGUGCUGACAGCUGGUUGCCCAGGCUAUGGAUUAAAGGUAAUACUGUUGGCCAGCAGAGCCCUGCUCACCCUGACGGCCCACCGCUGCUGUCAGACAACAUCUCCAAGAUGCUAUAAACUCCAGGACGAGAUGUCAAUCCCAAGGUUUCUAGAGAUUACAGCAGCUCCAGACUGAAUCCAAACUCACUUGUGAAGACUUCAGAUGACACCAACGCUCACAAAGACUACAGACAGCGACAACUGUGCAUAAACACACAAAACAUUGGACACACAAAACAAAUAUUAUCCUUAUUUUGCCUAUAAGGGUAAAUUUGAUGAUUUUCAAACUGCUUUAUUGUAACGUCUCUUAUAUCUGUAAAUGAACAAUAUUUACUCUCUGAGUUAUGUGGACCUACAUGUCCCCUUUUAUUUGUAAGCAUCACUUUAAAAAUGUUGAAAGAUAAUGUUAAUGUUAACUGAAUACAAAACUAGAGACUUGUUUAGUAAGAUUUUAUCAGAAAAUAUUUUUGAACUUUUAUCAUGCAAUUUAAAACAUUUUAAUUGCUCAAUUAGGAAACACUUUAGAAUAAGGUUCCAUUAGUUAAUGUUAGUUAAUGUAUAAAUUAACAUGAACAAACAAUGAAUAAUACAUUUAUUACUGUAUUUAUUCACUUUCGUUAAUGUUAGUUAAUGAAAAUACAGUUAUUCAUUGUUAGUUCAUGGUAAUUCAUGGUAAUUCACAUUAACUAAUGUUAACAAGCACAACUUUUGAUUUAAAUAAUGCAUUAGUAAAUGUUGAAAUUAACAUGAACUAAGACUUAUAAAUGCUGUAGAAGGAUUGUUCUUGCUUAGUUCAUGUUAACGAAAGUAGUUAACUAACAUUAACUAAUGGAACCUUAUUCUAAAGUGUUACCCUUAAUUAUUGUUUACCUGGUUUUAUUUUGUGUUUAUGUAACUUUUUAAAAAGUUCUUGGCAUGCGAUGCUGACAGCACUGAACACAUGACUUUUUAUUAUGAACUAUGGUCUUCCCAGUGAGUCUCAGUCAUCUCUGGCUUUUUAAACUGUAACCUUGAAACAUGCAUUUCCUGUAAACCUACUUUGAAAUAAGUAUUGUCAAAAGGUGCUAUACUCAUACAACAUUUAACCAUGCAAGUACUGUAGUAAUGGUUAUUUUUGUUUUUACUAUGGUUUUACUGCAAAAGCUGUAGUAAAAUCAUGGUUAAUGUUCAAAAGACUACAAAUAAUCCCGAAUUAUCCACUUUUGAUCAAAGCAUCUGGUAAAUGUUAUUGUAUUUGUACAUGUAAUAUGAAAUAAAUGAAAAUAUUAAUAAAGUUGCGUCUGUUCUUGA
Molecule: long non-coding RNA, 2529 nt
Organism: Carassius gibelio (silver crucian carp)
Lineage: Eukaryota; Metazoa; Chordata; Actinopteri; Cypriniformes; Cyprinidae
Exons: 9
Source: RefSeq, a predicted model, not a curated record